CGCAGAUACCAGGUGGCUGCAACUGUUUAUUAAAAACACAGCACUGUGCAAAAUCGCAAGAUGACGUAUACGGUGUGACGCCUGCCCGGUGCCGGAAGGUUAAUUGAUGGGGUUAGCGCAAGCGAAGCUCUUGAUCGAAGCCCCGGUAAACGGCGGCCGUAACUAUAACGGUCCUAAGGUAGCGAAAUUCCUUGUCGGGUAAGUUCCGACCUGCACGAAUGGCGUAAUGAUGGCCACGCUGUCUCCACCCGAGACUCAGUGAAAUUGAAAUCGCUGUGAAGAUGCAGUGUACCCGCGGCUAGACGGAAAGACCCCGUGAACCUUUACUACAGCUUGGCACUGAACAUUGAACCUACAUGUGUAGGAUAGGUGGGAGGCUAUGAAGACGUGACGCCAGUUGCGUUGGAGCCGUCCUUGAAAUACCACCCUUGUAUGUUUGAUGUUCUAACUUAGACCCAUUAUCUGGGUUGAGGACAGUGCCUGGUGGGUAGUUUGACUGGGGCGGUCUCCUCCCAAAGAGUAACGGAGGAGCACGAAGGUGGGCUAAUCACGGUUGGACAUCGUGAGGUUAGUGCAAUGGCAUAAGCCCGCUUAACUGCGAGAAUGACGGUUCGAGCAGGUGCGAAAGCAGGUCAUAGUGAUCCGGUGGUUCUGUAUGGAAGGGCCAUCGCUCAACGGAUAAAAGGUACUCCGGGGAUAACAGGCUGAUACCGCCCAAGAGUUCAUAUCGACGGCGGUGUUUGGCACCUCGAUGUCGGCUCAUCACAUCCUGGGGCUGAAGUCGGUCCCAAGGGUAUGGCUGUUCGCCAUUUAAAGUGGUACGCGAGCUGGGUUUAGAACGUCGUGAGACAGUUCGGUCCCUAUCUGCCGUGGGCGUUGGAAGAUUGAAGGGGGCUGCUCCUAGUACGAGAGGACCGGAGUGGACGAACCUCUGGUGUUCGGGUUGUGUCGCCAGACGCAUUGCCCGGUAGCUAAGUUCGGAAUUGAUAAGCGCUGAAAGCAUCUAAGCGCGAAGCGAGCCCUGAGAUGAGUCUUCCCUGAUACUUUAAGUAUCCUAAAGGGUUGUUCGAGACUAGAACGUUGAUAGGCAGGGUGUGUAAGCGUUGUGAGGCGUUGAGCUAACCUGUACUAAUUGCCCGUGAGGCUUAACCAU
RNAcentral lists this ribosomal RNA (1153 nucleotides) under Vibrio cholerae. Its description in RNAcentral is "partial 23S ribosomal RNA". It matches the Rfam family "Bacterial large subunit ribosomal RNA", at positions 1778 to 2925 of the family's 2925-position model. The record is from RNAcentral. Lineage: Bacteria; Pseudomonadati; Pseudomonadota; Gammaproteobacteria; Vibrionales; Vibrionaceae.